RNAcentral lists this ribosomal RNA (762 nucleotides) under Triticum aestivum (bread wheat). RNAcentral's name for it is "partial small subunit ribosomal RNA". Lineage: Eukaryota; Viridiplantae; Streptophyta; Magnoliopsida; Poales; Poaceae. The record is from RNAcentral.
AACAAAAGGAAAAAAAGUAGAGUGUACCUUACAUGGACUGCUGAGAUGGACACGACAUUGUUGGUUGCCCUUGUUGAGCAUCACAACAAUGUUGACCAUGCUCAAAAUGGUUGGAAGCCACAUGUGUAUAAUGCUUGCAUUAAGCAUGUCAAGGAUACAUGUGAUGUUGACAUUACGAAGGAAAACAUAACAGGAAGAAUCAAAACAUUUGACAAGCAGUAUGAGAUCAUUACCAAGAUGCUUGCUCAGAGUGGCUUUGGAUUGGAUUGGGUAAAGAACAUGGUGUCGGUUGAUAGUGACGAAGUGUGGUCUCGAUAUGUGGAGGCUAACAAGGACACACAUGCCUAUAGGAAAAAGGUAGUGCUCAAUUGGGAGUCUAUCAAUACCAUAUAUUCAAAAGAUCAUGCAACCGGUGUAGGUGCUAGGACAGGAGCUGCAUGUGUUCAAGAACCACAAGAAACACCCGUUGUUGAAGAAUCUCCUGAGGUGCCUCAAAAGAGGGAACGCACCGAUGCUAUCUUGUGCAUGAUGGGAAAGAUGAAGAUGUAUUUUGAUGACACUUUGAAGACAACCGAGCCACUUCCUAUGCUAAAGGUGACUCCUCCAACAGAAAUCCUUGCCGCACUAAAGCAGGUACCAGAUUUGGAGGAUAGUGAUAUGCCGAGAGCUUAUGGAAAGUUGAUCGUCAAUGAGCGUUUGUUUGAAGCACUCAUGGCGCUACCUGAGGAGUUAAGGAAGCCAUGGGUCUUGACCAUCGAUUGA